GAUGAACGCUGGCGGCGUGCUUAACACAUGCAAGUCGAACGGAAAGGCCCUGCUUGCAGGGUACUCGAGUGGCGAACGGGUGAGUAACACGUGGGUGAUCUGCCCUGUACUUUGGGAUAAGCCUGGGAAACUGGGUCUAAUACCGAAUAUGACAAUUGUUUGGGUGCGAUUGUGGAAAGCUUUUGCGGUAUGGGAUGAGCUCGCGGCCUAUCAGCUUGUUGGUGGGGCAAUGGCCUACCAAGGCGUCGACGGGUAGCCGGCCUGAGAGGGUGUACGGCCACAUUGGGACUGAGAUACGGCCCAGACUCCUACGGGAGGCAGCAGUGGGGAAUAUUGCACAAUGGGCGCAAGCCUGAUGCAGCGACGCCGCGUGGGGGAUGACGGCCUUCGGGUUGUAAACUCCUUUCGCAACCGACGAAGCCUUUUGGUGACGGUAGGUUGAGAAGAAGCACCGGCUAACUACGUG
This 466-nucleotide ribosomal RNA is filed under the name uncultured bacterium. Its description in RNAcentral is "partial 16S ribosomal RNA". It matches the Rfam family "Bacterial small subunit ribosomal RNA", at positions 28 to 507 of the family's 1533-position model. The record is from RNAcentral.